Molecule: non-coding RNA, 20 nt
Filed under: Callithrix jacchus (white-tufted-ear marmoset)
Lineage: Eukaryota; Metazoa; Chordata; Mammalia; Primates; Cebidae
Also listed under: 3 other names
Gene: cja-miR-151
Source: miRBase by way of RNAcentral
UCGAGGAGCUCACAGUCUAG